RNAcentral lists this ribosomal RNA (420 nucleotides) under uncultured Microcoleus sp. RNAcentral describes it as "bacterial SSU rRNA". It matches the Rfam family "Bacterial small subunit ribosomal RNA", at positions 356 to 790 of the family's 1533-position model. The record is from RNAcentral. Lineage: Bacteria; Bacillati; Cyanobacteriota; Cyanophyceae; Oscillatoriales; Microcoleaceae.
GGGGAAUUUUCCGCAAUGGGCGCAAGCCUGACGGAGCAAGACCGCGUGAGGGAGGAAGGCUCUUGGGUUGUAAACCUCUUUUCUCAGGGAAGAACACAAUGACGGUACCUGAGGAAUAAGCCUCGGCUAACUCCGUGCCAGCAGCCGCGGUAAUACGGAGGAGGCAAGCGUUAUCCGGAAUUAUUGGGCGUAAAGCGUCCGCAGGUGGCUUGUCAAGUCUGCUGUCAAAGGUCAAGGCUUAACCUUGAAAAGGCAGUGGAAACUGACAAGCUAGAGGGCUCUAGGGGUAGAGGGAAUUCCCGGUGUAGCGGUGAAAUGCGUAGAGAUCGGGAAGAACAUCGGUGGCGAAAGCGCUCUACUGGAGAGCAACUGACACUCAGGGACGAAAGCUAGGGGAGCGAAUGGGAUUAGAUACCCCAG